Molecule: ribosomal RNA, 460 nt
Filed under: uncultured bacterium
Lineage: Bacteria
Description: partial 16S ribosomal RNA
Rfam family: Bacterial small subunit ribosomal RNA
Source: RNAcentral
CCUACGGGUGGCAGCAGUGAGGAAUAUUGGUCAAUGGGCGGGAGCCUGAACCAGCCAAGUCGCGUGAGGGAAGACGGCCCUAUGGAUUGUAAACCGCUUUAGGCGGGGAUCAAUGCCGGGCACGCGUGCCCGUAGGGAGAGUACCCGCAGAUUAAGCAUCGGCAAACUCCGUGCCAGCAGCAGCGGUAAUACGGGGGAUGCGAGUGUUAUCGGCAUUUUUUGGGUUUAAGGGGGGCGUAGGCGGAUUUUUAAGUCAGCGGUAAAAUCUCCGGGCUCAACCCGGGCCGGCCGUUGAAACUGGGGAUCUUGAGUGGGCGAGAGGUAGGCGGAAUGCGUGGUGUAGCGGUGAAAUGCAUAGAUAUCACGCAGAACUCCGAUUGCGAAGGCAGCAUACCGGCGCCCGACUGACGCUGAGGCACGAAAGCGUGGGGAUCGAACAGGAUUAGAUACCCCAGUAGUC